Molecule: long non-coding RNA, 346 nt
Organism: Mizuhopecten yessoensis (Yesso scallop)
Lineage: Eukaryota; Metazoa; Mollusca; Bivalvia; Pectinida; Pectinidae
Exons: 4
Source: RefSeq, a predicted model, not a curated record
UACGGCAUAAAAUGAUUUCAGAAAAAAACAAAGGAACGACAUAGGCAAGGCUUUUGAGAACCGAGAUCACCUACUUUGCUACUUGUUUUUCAGCUCCGUUACCUACCCUUUCUGUACGACAAAGUCAGACAACUACAACAGCAGGAACUGUAACCACGCCAGUUUCUCGGGCGACCGUUUCCACGCGUUUACCACAGAACGUCCCAGUACUUGUAGGAAAACGGAUCGACGUCGAUUCUGUUGCUGACACUGACCAACGAGGACGGCAUCCUAUUACCUGACGUUUACGUUUUCAAUUCGUGAUACUAUGUCACAAUUUUAAUGACUGCAAAUAAAUUGCUUUAAU